GAACUGCGAUAAGUAAUGUGAAUUGCAGAAUUCAGUGAAUCAUCGAGUCUUUGAACGCACAUUGCGCCCCCUGGCAUUCCGGGGGGCAUGCCUGUCCGAGCGACAUUGCUGCCCUUCAAGCCCGGCUUGUGUGUUGGGUCGUCGUCCCCUCCGGGGGACGGGCCCGAAAGGCAGCGGCGGCACCGCGUCCGGUCCUCGAGCGUAUGGGGCUUUGUCACCCGCUCGAUAAGGACCGGCCGGGCGCCAGCCGGCGUCUCCAACCUUUUUUUCUCAGGUUGACCUCGGAUCAGGUAGGGAUACCCGCUGAACUUAAGC
RNAcentral lists this unclassified non-coding RNA (315 nucleotides) under plant metagenome. RNAcentral's name for it is "partial contains 5.8S ribosomal RNA, internal transcribed spacer 2, and large subunit ribosomal RNA". The stretch from base 1 to 105 matches the Rfam family "5.8S ribosomal RNA", at positions 50 to 154 of the family's 154-position model. The record is from RNAcentral.